UAAAGAAUUUCGGUAUGGGAUGGGGAUGCGUUCCAUUAGUUAGUUGGCGGGGUAACGGCCCACCAAGACAACGAUGGAUAGGGGUUCUGAGAGGAAGGUCCCCCACAUUGGAACUGAGACACGGUCCAAACUCCUACGGGAGGCAGCAGUGAGGAAUAUUGGUCAAUGGACGAGAGUCUGAACCAGCCAAGUAGCGUGAAGGAUGACUGCCCUAUGGGUUGUAAACUUCUUUUAUAUGGGAAUAAAACGUUCCACGUGUGGGAUUUUGUAUGUACCAUAUGAAUAAGGAUCGGCUAACUCCGUGCCAGCAGCCGCGGUAAUACGGAGGAUCCGAGCGUUAUCCGGAUUUAUUGGGUUUAAAGGGAGCGUAGGUGGAUUGUUAAGUCAGUUGUGAAAGUUUGCGGCUCAACCGUAAAAUUGCAGUUGAAACUGGCAGUCUUGAGUACAGUAGAGGUGGGCGGAAUUCGUGGUGUAGCGGUGAAAUGCUUAGAUAUCACGAAGAACUCCGAUUGCGAAGGCAGCUCACUGGACUGCAACUGACACUGAGGCUCGAAAGUGUGGGUAUCAAACAGGAUUAGAUACCCUGGUAGUCCACACAGUAAACGAUGAAUACUCGCUGUUUGCGAUAUACAGCAAGCGGC
This 641-nucleotide ribosomal RNA is filed under the name uncultured bacterium. RNAcentral describes it as "bacterial SSU rRNA". It matches the Rfam family "Bacterial small subunit ribosomal RNA", at positions 202 to 847 of the family's 1533-position model. The record is from RNAcentral.